GUUCGCCAUUUUCAAAAUCCUGUUUCUUCCGGGUACACCUGUCAAGAGAAUUGACGUUGUACGCAUGUCUCUGUGUGACGCCAUGUCUCGGAGAAUUGUGAUGAUGAGAACCUGAAAGAAAACACUGCUGUGUGUGACUCCAGGUGGCUGGAGUUGGACUCAAGACCAGACCCUCCAAGAUCUGGACCCAGAUCAUGACCAACAAGGUCAAAGCCAAAGAUCCGUUUGUUCCUUUUGGUGAAAUACUGAAGAUGUAUUCUACUCACACAACCAUUUUCACCCUCUAGUGACAGAUAAAAUACUGCAGACAAUGACGAAAUGUGCAUUACGGUGUGGUUGAAGUGAAACAAACCUGUGAUCUUUUGUCGAAGUAGGAUAAAAGAAUCUAUAGCCAUUUUGUUAUUUUUUUGGACAACUGGAACGCCCAUGUCAUAAUAUUUAUUGAUGUUAUGAGAAAAAUGUGUGAUCCCUGUGUGCAUGGUGAUAUGUCAUUGGGUGUGGUGUGGAAGACCUGUGAGGAAAAUGAUCCUUUCCUAUCAUAUUGUGAAUGUACUUUACCAUAAUUAUCAAUAACAAACGACUGAGGCCAGACAAAUCUGCAAUUAAGGGGCUUUAAAAUGACUAUUUGGGCAUCUUUAAAAGCUAUUUUUAACUAUUCAGAGUAUGUCGAAUGAAUUACAUACCAUAUAACCUUUGAACCCUACCCACAAUUCUGUAUGACUUUCCACUUUAUAUGUCAUUGUCUUUUAUUAAAUGUCUGUGUUUUGUAACAAUAUCCUUUAACAGGAACUGUUCUGUCAG
Molecule: long non-coding RNA, 801 nt
Organism: Triplophysa rosa
Lineage: Eukaryota; Metazoa; Chordata; Actinopteri; Cypriniformes; Nemacheilidae
Exons: 3
Source: RefSeq, a predicted model, not a curated record